RNAcentral lists this ribosomal RNA (530 nucleotides) under uncultured bacterium. RNAcentral describes it as "bacterial SSU rRNA". It matches the Rfam family "Bacterial small subunit ribosomal RNA", at positions 9 to 522 of the family's 1533-position model. The record is from RNAcentral.
GAGUUUGAUCAUGGCUCAGGAUAAACGCUGGCGGCGUGCCUAACACAUGCAAGUCGAACGCUCUCGCACUCGCAAGGGUGAGAGGGAGUGGCGCACGGGUGAGUAAGACAUGGGUGACCUGCCCUUAAGUGAGGAAUACCACCGGGAAACCGGUGACAAUACCGCAUAGGCUCGCUCGAUCAAUGAGCGAGCAAAGCUCCUUUCGCAAGAGGGGGGCGCUUGAGGAGGGGCUCGUGGCCGAUUAGCUGGCUGGUGGGGUAAUGGCCUACCAGGGCGACGAUCGGUAGCUGGUCUGAGAGGACGAGCAGCCACACUGGGACUGAGACACGGCCCAGACUCCUACGGGAGGCAGCAGUGGGGAAUUUUGGACAAUGGGCGCAAGCCUGAUCCAGCAAUGCCGCGUGCAGGAUGAAGGCCUUCGGGUUGUAAACUGCUUUUGUACGGAACGAAACGGUCUGCCCUAAUACGGCGGGCUAAUGACGGUACCGUAAGAAUAAGCACCGGCUAACUACGUGCCAGCAGCCGCGGUA